CCCUUAGAUGUCCUGGGCCGCACGCGCGCUACACUGACAUGUUCAACAAGCCUCCUAGUUCGACAGGAUUUGGGAAAUCUUUGAACGCAUGUCGUGAUAGGGAUAGAUCAUUGCAAUUAUUGAUCUUGAACGAGGAAUUCCUAGUAAACGCGAGUCAUCAGCUCGCAUUGAUUACGUCCCUGCCCUUUGUACACACCGCCCGUCGCUACUACCGAUUGAACGGUUUAGUGAGGGCCUCGGAUUGGUCUCGGCCCGCUCUUUACCGGGCGGCGCCGUUGGUCGAGAAGACGCUCGAACUUGAUCGUUUAGAGGAAGUAAAAGUCGCAACA
RNAcentral lists this ribosomal RNA (329 nucleotides) under uncultured eukaryote. Its description in RNAcentral is "partial 18S ribosomal RNA". It matches the Rfam family "Eukaryotic small subunit ribosomal RNA", at positions 1470 to 1796 of the family's 1831-position model. The record is from RNAcentral.